UGGGGAAUAUUGGACAAUGGGCGAAAGCCUGAUCCAGCCAUGCCGCGUGAGUGACGAAGGCCUUAGGGUUGUAAAACUCUUUCGUCGGGGACGAUAAUGACGGUACCCGAAGAAGAAGCUCCGGCUAACUUCGUGCCAGCAGCCGCGGUAAUACGUAGGGACCAAGCGUUGUUCGGAUUUACUGGGCGUAAAGGGCGCGUAGGCGGCAUGACAAGUCACUUGUGAAAUCUCUGGGCUUAACCCAGAACGGCCAAGUGAUACUGUCGCGCUAGAGUGCAGAAGGGGCAAUCGGAAUUCUUGGUGUAGCGGUGAAAUGCGUAGAUAUCAAGAGGAACACCUGAGGUGAAGACGGGUUGCUGGGCUGACACUGACGCUGAGGCGCGAAAGCCAGGGGAGCAAACGGGAUUAGAUACCCUAGUAGUCCCUGAGCGGGCUGGCAAGGCGCAU
Molecule: ribosomal RNA, 447 nt
Filed under: uncultured bacterium
Lineage: Bacteria
Description: bacterial SSU rRNA
Rfam family: Bacterial small subunit ribosomal RNA
Source: RNAcentral